AAUUAAACCCUUAAACGUAGGCAGAUCCAGGCCGCACUCACCGACGAGCCGGCGGCGGCGCAAACUCUGCUUCCGGCGACUGGAGCGCGGCGACCCCGCGCGGGACGCUACCAGAUUUUCGGUGGACUCGCAGAUCCCUCAUGUCGUUCGCCGGCGUGUCGGUCGUCGACAGCGCCAAGCACUGCACCUGCGACACGUCGGCCGUCUACGCCGGCGCGGACAGCGGGUACCACCUGCUUAUGGUCAGGGACUACUCGCGUACCAAGGUUCAGUUGCCCACCGGCGAGAGCGCCACCACCGGCCUUUUCACGGUGGGAGAAUAUGAUUGGUACAUCGAGUACUACCCCAACGGAGAAAACCCAAACUGCCGGGACUUCGUUUCGCUCUACGUCACGAGGCAUACCCUCUACGACUGCGAGGGCGAAGAGGAUGUGGAGGCCAAGUUCAGCUUCAGUCUCGUCGACCAGCUUGAGAAGCACAAGCCAGUGUACAUUCAUGGAACCAAUAAGACUUGCACCUUCUCCAGCAGUGCUCCCUCCUGGGGCAGCGACAGAUUUGUGAGAAGAGACGCCCUGGAACGAUCGGCGCAUCUAAAGGGUGAUUGUCUCACCAUCCGGUGCGACAUCAUGGUUGUUUGCAAGGAUCACAAAAUCGAGGAUGCCGCUGGCACCGUACCUGACAUAAACCAGCAUUUUGGCCACCUCCUUCAAAACAAGGUGGGUGCUGAUGUGACAUUUGAGGUCGGUGGCGAGACGUUCGCUGCGCACCGGUGUGUGCUUGCAGCCCGGUCCAAAGUGUUCAUGGCGCAGCUCUUUGGCCCCAUGAAGGAGGGCGCCACAACAUCCAGCGUCAUACAGAUCAAAGACAUGGAAGCAAAAGUGUUCAGGGCUUUGCUAAGCUUCAUCUACACAGAUUCACUCCCUGCGAUGGAGAAGGACAGCAUGGAGGAGGAUGAAAUGUCAGAAGUUAUGGACGAAGGGCGAGAAGAAGCAGCAGAGUUUGAAAUGUGGCUGCAAUGGUUGGAAGAUUUGUUUGUGGCGGCAGACAGAUACGAUCUCCAACUGCUCAAGUUAAUCUGUGAAAAGCAGUUGUCUGAGCACAUAAGUGUGAGCUCAGUGACGUCCACUCUUGCUCUAGCUGAGAAGCACCACUGCUGUGGAUUGAAGGAGGCGUGCUUGAAGUUUAUCCAAGUGCAGUCUCCCUCGUGCUUGCAAACAGUAAUGGCAACUAGUGGCUGGGAUCAUAUAGCAGUGACCUAUCCCUGGGUUGUGAAGGAGUUCAUUGCCAAGCUUGCUUCGAACCAGCGCAAGUAACACUCUGUAUAGGGGUAGAAUUUCAAACGCGAGAACUAUUCAUCGGCACCAAUCAUCUACAUGCAGCUGGGUUAUCUGAAUUCUGUUUGCUGAUAAAGAAAAUUGAGAGUAUGAACUGAACUUUCUUGUUAGGAAAAAUAUAAUUAUUGGAAAGGAACUGUUUGACCUGCCUUCAUCACGCUAUAGUACCUGCCUUCCUGGCAAGGUAGGCAUGGCCAGUUAAAUUACUCGAAACAACAUAGCACCGAGUAACCAACUGCUGUUGCCAGAUGAUUACAGGGAAGCUCUGGUUGACCUCAAGAUUCUUUUUCUGUUGUGUUCUGUUAAACGUGUACAACAUGGUCAGGUACUCAGGUGUCGACCUCCAUUCUGAUCCGGUCGGCAGCAAUUGGAUUUACCGGUCUUUGUGGUUUGAUUAAUAGUUCAUUGGUUCAGCUGACCAUGGCCUGCAUGUUCCAUCGGUAUAUCCCUUAAUCACUUUCCAAUGUCAUUUGUCUGGAAAGUCACCCUUAUCAUCUACAUGCAAAAGCAUCAUCAUGUAUAAAAAGUUGCAAAUUGAGGGACCUUCAUCAAAUCCUGAGGCUAUCUGUGGUCACUUUCAAGGGGCUUCUGCAAAAUCUAAUGUGAAGCGGCAAUGUCUUUAUUUAUUUAACUGUGCAUCUAAUAUGAAUUAUUUCAGCCCUCACUUAGCCUGGAUACUUGUCAGCUUGGGUUUCCUGUGAGUCUGAUGUAUCACCUGCUUCCCGUGCUGGGAGAGUUCUCUGCUUGGCGUUGAGGUACAUAGUUUAUCCUUGUAGAGUUCUGGUUAGAUGGUUAUUGUACCCAGUACCCUCCUUUUAUUUCUGUUGGAGAGAAGUAGCUUCCUUUGUUGUAACUUCUAAGCGAAACAACAGCUCAUAAAAAAGACUUCUAAGCAAAACAAACGAAAUAUGGCUCUCUGUUGGGUGGCUAAUAAAUGCCACUUGGAGCCCUCAUGUGGUUCUGUUUGUUGAAUUAUGUCUAGCUUAUCUUUGAGAACAUUAUCAGGAUACUUUCAACUGAAAACUAACUGAUGUUAGAGGUAUGCGCGUAAAUCAUGCCAGUAUUAUAUACUCCCUCCGUUCCAAAAUACUCCCUCCGUCCGGAAAUACUUGUCGGGGAAAUGGAUGUAUCUAGACGUAUUUUAGUUCUAGAUACAUCCAAUUUUAUCUGUUUGUGCGACAAGUAUUUCCGGACGGAGGGAGUAGAUGACUCAACUUUGUACUAUAUUUUGGAACGGAGGGAGUAGUAGUCUUGCUGUUUCACAUCUCUAUCAAGAAAUAAGUGCCAUUCGUGAUGGCGGGGCUGCUCAUAGAGUCUAUUUUGGACAUAUAUGCAUCGAAGGAUACAUGUCUAUUUAAUCUCCACCAGGUGGCAUGCCCAGGCAGGCGCUAUUUAGUUUCUUAUUGCAAAAAAGAUAACAUAUGGGCGGAUUAUUAAAGAAGAAGAAGCAUGCAACCUACUCGUCUAUAUUAUACACCAGUGCUGACCAGCGACCACCACGUGGAAGUUCAUGGUCGAUAGCUCUGCAUUUCUAAUAGAUGGGUAAUAUGUUGAACCCGAGAAUUCUAUAUGUCUAAAAGGAAAAAGGAUUUGAUGGAGCUUACCAUUUAAAAGCGCCCUAGAGCUCUUUUCGUCAUGUGAAGCGCAAUUUUCGAUAUCUGGUUAGCUGAUGGUACUUCUUUCCAAUCUUUCGCCUUUGCACCUUUGCACCUUUGCUCCUUAUUCUGAAUUCUGCCUGUGUAACGGCAUUUUUGAGCGCCUUUUGGCAUUGUGCUGAUAGGUCCUUCCUGGCAAUGUUAUGGUGCUGCGCCCACGGCACGCGACGGACAUGGUGUGCUAAAUUGCUGGAAACAUCAUAGCGCCUAGUGACCAACUACUGUCGCCGCAUGAUUACAUGGAAGCUCCCGUUGGCCUCAAGAUUCUUUUUCUGUGUCCGUUCCUGGGGUUAUGUUGAGAAAAAACUGGGGUUAAAUUGCCUGUCUAUUGCAUGAUGAGGCUCCCUCUUGUAGUCUUGUGGGUGGUGUCACACUUUGCGAGCCUUCACUCAUUCUUUGCCAUCUGAGAGCUACUGAUUGAUCUGAUCCGUUACAAAAUUGGAGAAAUACCAGAGCUCGUGGUUCAUGUUUGACA
Triticum aestivum (bread wheat) is the source of this 3464-nucleotide RNA transcript. It is a transcript of the gene named BTB/POZ and MATH domain-containing protein 2, with no coding region annotated. The transcript is spliced from 5 exons. NCBI's taxonomy places the organism in Eukaryota, Viridiplantae, Streptophyta, Magnoliopsida, Poales, Poaceae. The record is from RefSeq and is a predicted model, not a curated record.